Molecule: long non-coding RNA, 929 nt
Filed under: Carica papaya (papaya)
Lineage: Eukaryota; Viridiplantae; Streptophyta; Magnoliopsida; Brassicales; Caricaceae
Description: long non-coding RNA (CPAP_LNC016110)
Source: RNAcentral
CCUAUGGCCAAAUCGGAGCCAAACUACUGGCCAAACGGCCGAAAAACCCAGCCGAAACCCAGCGACGCUGCCACGCCCCUCCUCGGUUUUUGCCUCUGAUGAGGCCCUUCCUGGCCUCCGUUUGAUGCAAAUUUUAUACCACUGUGAUCAUCGUUCUUUUCUCUACAGGUUGAUCGGAGCCAAACAUCAAAACGCAACUCACGCCGGAGGAGCUGCCGCACCCGAGAGCACCGCCGCCAGUAAGUUUCGGUUUUUCAUAAUUUUUUGACCCACCGAGGGCCCUAGGGUUGUUUUAUCGCAGGGACCGAUGCAAGCGUGGCCGAAUUCGGCCAAAAACGGCUGAAAACGGCCAACCCGAGGUGAAUCGCCGCCGCUUGCGGCAGCGCCGUCGCCAGAGCACGACGGAGCUGCCGUGCCAGAAUUGUGAUAUUGGCCAAAAGGGGCCCUAGGUCUAAUUUGGAAUUUUUUGGGACACGUGCAGGUGCCAGUAGUGCAUUUCAGUUUCCCGAAAAAAAUUCAGGAAAAAUUAGGGACAGCCUGUAGGCGCACUGUAGAGCCAUAUUCAGACCCCGAAACAAGUAAGGACCCCUCACCCUAUUUCCUAUCACGGUAUUGAAGCUAAAUAAAUAAUUAAACUGUACUGUAUGACUUUAUAGAUGUAAAAUUGAUUAAGGUUGCCAAUGGAGCCCGAGUCUGAUACUGAGUUGGUCUGUUAUUGUUUGAUUUAAUUUCCAGUAUUAAAUGCAGCAUGAUGUUUGAUGUAAUUAUAUUAUGGUCUCGUAUGCAUGAAUCAUGGUUUCUUUAUUUAUGGUUGGUAUUAUGCUUAACCCGAUACUGUGUUGUCUUGUUUGGUGUCCAUUACUGGUUUACAUGUUGUGUGUGUUUGAAUGAUUGAAACCAAGAAAAAGUGCAAAAAGGUUAUGUGAAUU